This 231-nucleotide long non-coding RNA is filed under the name Elaeis guineensis (African oil palm). RNAcentral's name for it is "long non-coding RNA (EGUI_LNC067044)". Lineage: Eukaryota; Viridiplantae; Streptophyta; Magnoliopsida; Arecales; Arecaceae. The record is from RNAcentral.
GGCUCUGGAGUGAGUUGGUCAUGAUCAAAUGGUUAAGGGGCUUUUCGAGUUUGAUCAGGAGCCUAGGGACAAUCGAACGGUCAGAAUUAUUUUUGGGCUUUGAUUUGAACUUAGUCUCCUAGUGAAACACUAUUUUAGGAUUUUUGGAGGCUAUAAAAUUUCGAUUGAUGAUUCGUUUAUUGGGUCAGGUAACUGGUGACAUCCUGAUCAUGCAGAGAGGCUUCUUGAGAG